AACGAACGCUGGCGGCAGGCCUAACACAUGCAAGUCGAGCGAGCACUUCGGUCCUAGCGGCGGACGGGUGAGUAACGCGUGGGAACGUGCCCUUUGCUUCGGAAUAACCCUGGGAAACUGGUGCUAAUACCGGAUGAGCCCUUUGGGGGAAAGAUUUAUCGGCGAAGGAUCGGCCCGCGUUGGAUUAGCUAGUUGGUGGGGUAAUGGCCUAACAAGCGCGAGAUACAUAGCUGGGUUGAGAGGAAGGUCAGCCACACUGGGACUGGGACACGGCCCAGACUCCUAAGGGAGGGAGGAGGGGGGAAUCCUAGAAAAUGGGGGAAAAGCUGAACGAGCCAUGGCGCGUGAGCGAUGAAGGCCUUAGGGUUGGAAAGAUAUUUCAGCUGGGAAGAUAAUGAAGGUAACAGCAGAAGAAGCCCCGGCUAACUCCGUG
RNAcentral lists this ribosomal RNA (433 nucleotides) under uncultured bacterium. RNAcentral describes it as "partial 16S ribosomal RNA". It matches the Rfam family "Bacterial small subunit ribosomal RNA", at positions 29 to 507 of the family's 1533-position model. The record is from RNAcentral.